ACCCGCUGAACUUAAGCAUAUCAAUAAGCGGAGGAAAAGAAACCAACAGGGAUUGCCUUAGUAACGGCGAGUGAAGCGGCAACAGCUCAAAUUUGAAAUCUGUCUCUUUUAGAGUCCGAGUUGUAAUUUGUAGAGGAUGUUUCGGGCGUGGUCCGGUCUAAGUUCCUUGGAACAGGACGUCAUAGAGGGUGAGAAUCCCGUAUGCGACUGGGUGCCUAAGCUCAUGUGAAACUCCUUCGACGAGUCGAGUUGUUUGGGAAUGCAGCUCAAAAUGGGUGGUAAAUUUCAUCUAAAGCUAAAUAUUGGCCAGAGACCGAUAGCGCACAAGUAGAGUGAUCGAAAGAUGAAAAGCACUUUGGAAAGAGAGUUAAACAGUACGUGAAAUUGUUGAAAGGGAAGCGCUUGCAACCAGACUUGCAUUCAGUUGAUCAUCCGGCGUUUUCACCGGUGCACUCGAUUGUUUUCAGGCCAGCAUCGGUUUUGGUGGUUGGAUAAAGGCCUUGGGAAUGUAGCUUCUUUCGGGGAGUGUUAUAGCCCUCGGUGCAAUGCAGCCUACCGGGACCGAGGACCGCGCUUCGGCUAGGAUGCUGGCAUAAUGGUUGUAAGCGACCCGUCUUGAAACACGG
This 626-nucleotide ribosomal RNA is filed under the name uncultured fungus. RNAcentral describes it as "eukaryotic LSU rRNA". It matches the Rfam family "Eukaryotic large subunit ribosomal RNA", at positions 23 to 664 of the family's 3401-position model. The record is from RNAcentral. Lineage: Eukaryota; Fungi.